GGUUAAGGGCACAGGAAGUAAAUUUGUUUAAACAAGCAGGUGUCAGCAACUGAUAAUGAGCUACAUUUUUAGACAUGAUUUAGCAAAUUAAGAUUUUAAAUUGUACUUGUAGUGUCAAAUGUCUUGAAAUACUGUCAGCAUGAAGUAUUGUGUGAUGAAAACAAAGUGUAUUUACUACAAUGUAGUAAAUCAAAGGAGGUCCAAAGUGGCUGGAUACUGAAGAACAGUUGUAACAGGUAAAACUCUUGCCCCAAGGAAAGAAUGUGCAUUAUCACCUGCUAAAAAAGGAAGAAACAGGGGGAUACUGACUGAUGUAUGGACUUUAACACCAGGUUUUUACCCUUCAAGAGUUGGCCAACUAGAGUGAAGCAGGAGAGUGGGCUGUGCUUGACUAAGAAAAGCUGGAUUUGUUGAGAGAUCAAUACGCAUUCAAGAUCCUUAAGAAGAGAAGGACACAAGCAACAUCAGUGGUAGAUGUCACUCCAGCCCCUGCUUUUCCGGUCUCGCCUGCUGCUUUCCAGGUCCCUCCAGCUGCCAAGAUCAGGUCUAGGCACUGGCUGCCAUCCAGGUCCCCCUGGCGGUUGCGGUCGUGUUCUCAAAUGGCUGCUGUACUGGACUACUGGUUCCACCACCAUAUUCGGUCAAGGUCUCUCCAAAUGCUGAAGUCCAGGUUCCUCCGGCCACUGCGGUUCAGGUACCCCCAACAGCUGUGACCUAGUUCUCUGCAGCAGCUGCGAUCUAAAUAUAUUGACCCACUGCGGAACACUGCGGUUAAUCGUUUUUUCCAUACAAUCUUCCACAAAUGCCUCAUUUUAUAAUGAAGUGUACAAUUCUUAUGUUCAUAUUUGUUUGUGUUAUAAAGAUGAUUUUCCUGCA
This is a long non-coding RNA of Dreissena polymorpha, 876 nucleotides long. RefSeq lists it as uncharacterized. The record is from RefSeq and is a predicted model, not a curated record. Lineage: Eukaryota; Metazoa; Mollusca; Bivalvia; Myida; Dreissenidae. The transcript has 3 exons.